CAGUAGCCACGGUAACACCAGCAGCCCAAGUGGUGGUCGCGAUUAUUGGGCCUAAAGCGCUCGUAGCCGGGCCGGUAAGUCCCUUGUGAAAUCGGACGGCCUAACCGUUCGGCGUGCAAGGGAUACUGUCGGUCUUGAGGCCGGGAGACGUCCGAGGUACUCCGGGGGUAGCGGUGAAAUGUUCUGAUCCUCGGGGGACCACCAGUGGCGAAGGCGGCUCACUGGACGACUGUUGACGCUGAGGUACGAAAGCGUGGGGAGCAAACAGGAUUAGAUACCCGUGUAGUCCCUGUCUCUUAUA
This 301-nucleotide ribosomal RNA is filed under the name uncultured bacterium. RNAcentral's name for it is "partial 16S ribosomal RNA". It matches the Rfam family "Archaeal small subunit ribosomal RNA", at positions 459 to 759 of the family's 1478-position model. The record is from RNAcentral.